GUGUCAGCCGCCGCGGUAACACGGAGGGAGCAAACGUUGUUCGGAAUCACUGGGCGUAAAGGGCGCGUAGGCGGCUUCUUGAGUCGAGGGUGAAAACCUAUGGCUUAACCAUAGGCCUGCCCCCGAAACUGGGGAGCUUGAGGCCGUAAGAGGAAAGCGGAAUUCCUGGUGUAUCGGUGAAAUGAGUUGAUAUCAGGAGGAACACCGGUGGCGAAGGCGGCUUUCUGGUGCGGUUCUGACGCUGAGGUGCGAAAGCAUGGGGAGCAAACGGGAUUAGAUACCCUUGUAGUCC
Molecule: ribosomal RNA, 292 nt
Filed under: uncultured bacterium
Lineage: Bacteria
Description: partial 16S ribosomal RNA
Rfam family: Bacterial small subunit ribosomal RNA
Source: RNAcentral